GGGGGUAUGGCUCAGUUGGUAGAGCGCCUCGUUCGCAACGAGGAGGCCAGCGGUUCGAAUCCGCUUAUCUCCACCA
This 76-nucleotide transfer RNA is filed under the name Clostridia bacterium. RNAcentral describes it as "tRNA-Ala". It matches the Rfam family "tRNA". Rfam says of the family: Transfer RNA (tRNA) molecules are approximately 80 nucleotides in length. Their secondary structure includes four short double-helical elements and three loops (D, anti-codon, and T loops). Lineage: Bacteria; Bacillati; Bacillota; Clostridia. RNAcentral also lists the same sequence under 2 other names. The record is from RNAcentral.